Molecule: long non-coding RNA, 2778 nt
Organism: Oncorhynchus keta (chum salmon)
Lineage: Eukaryota; Metazoa; Chordata; Actinopteri; Salmoniformes; Salmonidae
Exons: 3
Source: RefSeq, a predicted model, not a curated record
ACACACACACACACACACACACACACACACACACACACACACACACACACACACACACACACACACACACACACACACACUGGUUCACACACACACACACACACACACACACACACACACACACACACACACACAAACACACACACACAAAACACACACACACACACACACACACACACACACACACACACACACACACACACACACACACACACACACACACACACACACACACACACACACACACACACACACACACACACACACACACACACACACACACACACACACACACACUCCUAGACAGCUCAGCAGUGCCAGAUGCCUGCGGUAGGGUUGUGUUUCUCUGGGGAUAGAUUCCCCCCAUGAACUUUCCAGUCAAAAGCCAAGUGAUUCUUUUGGAAGGGGGCCUGGGGAUUUAAGACGAUGCCCCCCCCCCCCGCCCCUCAGAUCCCUUAGAAAAGGUAGAAGCUCUCUUGUUAUAAUCAGAGAGAGAGAAUGGGGGGAGAGAGAGAGAACGGGAGAGAUAGAGAUAGAACUGGGCUGGUCCUUUACUUUAAUCAACUGGGUUUAAUUAACUAUAAGAGGGUUGAUUGGGUCCGUAGGAUUCAGAGUCCAGGCCUUCUCUCUUUGAUAGCAGCCCAUUAGCUGAGUGUGGUGACCCCCGCUAGCUUGCAUAAUGGAUUGACCCGACCUGACAGAGUGAGGUGGCCCAGGGGACACACACACAGUAUUGGGACUGCAGCCAAGUUGCAGCAGACCUAAAUCAGUACUUUGUAGUGUUGUGAUCUGAACAUGCAGUACACUGUAGUAUUGUGUUUGUAACCAAGGGGCUAUUACUGAAUGAUAAAGUCAUACUAGAAUAGUAAUCUGACACUGGGGGUGACUGUGGUGGUAGUAACCUGACACUGGGGGUGACUGUGGUGGUAGUAACCUGACACUGGGGGUGACUGUGGUGGUAGUAAUCUGUCACUGGGGGUGACUGUGGUGGUAGUAACCUGACACUGGGGGUGACUGUGGUGGUAGUAACCUGACACUGGGGGUGACUGUGGUGGUAGUAACCUGACACUGGGGGUGACUGUGGUGGUAGUAACCUGACACUGGGGGUGACUGUGGUGGUAGUAACCUGACACUGGGGGUGACUGUGGUGGUAGUAACCUGACACUGGGGGUGACUGUGGUGGUAGUAACCUGACACUGGGGGUGACUGUGGUGGUAGUAAUCUGUCACUGGGGGUGACUGUGGUGGUAGUAACCUGACACUGGGGGUGACUGUGGUGGUAGUAAUCUGUCACUGGGGGUGACUGUGGUGGUAGUAACCUGACACUGGGGGUGACUGUGGUGGUAGUAACCUGACACUGGGGGUGACUGUGGUGGUAGUAACCUGACACUGGGGGUGACUGUGGUGGUAGUAAUCUGUCACUGGGGGUGACUGUGGUGGUAGUAACCUGACACUGGGGGUGACUGUGGUGGUAGUAAUCUGACACUGGGGGUGACUGUGGUGGUCGUAACCUGACACUGGGGGUGACUGUGGUGGAAGUAAUCUGUCACUGGGGGUGACUGUGGUGGUAGUAACCUGACACUGGGGGUGACUGUGGUGGUAGUAAUCUGUCACUGGGGGUGACUGUGGUGGUAGUAACCUGAAACUGGGGGUGACUGUGGUGGUAGUAACCUGACACUGGGGGUGACUGUGGUGGUAGUAACCUGACACUGGGGGUGACUGUGGUGGUAGUAACCUGACACUGGGGGUGACUGUGGUGGUAGUAACCUGACACUGGGGGUGACUGUGGUGGUAGUAACCUGACACUGGGGGUGACUGUGGUGGUAGUAACCUGACACUGGGGGUGACUGUGGUGGUCGUAACCUGACACUGGGGGUGACUGUGGUGGUAGUAAUCUGUCACUGGGGGUGACUGUGGUGGUAGUAACCUGACACUGGGGGUGACUGUGGUGGUAGUAAUCUGUCACUGGGGGUGACUGUGGUGGUAGUAACCUGCCACUGGGGGUGACUGUGGUGGUAGUAACCUGACACUGGGGGUGACUGUGGUGGUAGUAACCUGACACUGGGGGUGACUGUGGUGGUAGUAACCUGACACUGGGGGUGACUGUGGUGGUAGUAACCUGUCACCAGGGGUGACUGUGGUGAUAGUAACCUGUCACUGGGGGUGACUGUGGUGAUAGUAACCUGACACUGGGGCUGUCAUUCAUAUUCCAUUCACCCAGUUCAAUGUAACAGCGAUAGGUUUAGGAUACUGUCAUUCAUAUUCCAUUCACCCAGUUCAAUGUAACAGCGAUAGGUUUAGGAUACUGUCAUUCAUAUUCCAUUCACCCAGUUCAAUGUAACAGCGAUAGGUUUAGGAUACUGUCAUUCAUAUUCCAUUCACCCAGUUCAAUGUAACAGCGAUAGGUUUAGGAUACUGUCAUUCAUAUUCCAUUCACCCAGUUCAAUGUAACAGCGAUAGGUUUAGGAUACUGUCAUUCAUAUUCCAUUCACCCAGUUCAAUGUAACAGCGAUAGGUUUAGGAUACUGUCAUUCAUAUUCCAUUCACCCAGUUCAAUGUAACAGCGAUAGGUUUAGGAUACUGUCAUUCAUAUUCCAUUCACCCAGUUCAAUGUAACAGUGAUAGGUUUAGGAUACUGUCAUUCAUAUUCCAUUCACCCAGUUCAAUGUAACAGCGAUAGGUUUAGGAUACUGUCAUUCAUAUUCCAUUCACCCAGUUCAAUGUAACAGCGAUAGGUUUAGGAUACUGUCAUUCAUAUUCCAUUCACCCAGUUCAAUGU